Molecule: ribosomal RNA, 106 nt
Organism: Propithecus coquereli (Coquerel's sifaka)
Lineage: Eukaryota; Metazoa; Chordata; Mammalia; Primates; Indriidae
Source: Ensembl
UUCUACGGCCACACCCCUCUGAACGCACCCAAUCUCGUCUGAUCUUGGAAGCUGAACAGGCUCCAGCCUGGGUAGUACUUGGGAUCAAAGAAAGGAUGGGUCGACC